This 396-nucleotide ribosomal RNA is filed under the name uncultured bacterium. Its description in RNAcentral is "bacterial SSU rRNA". It matches the Rfam family "Bacterial small subunit ribosomal RNA", at positions 362 to 775 of the family's 1533-position model. The record is from RNAcentral.
UAUUGCACAAUGGGUGAAACCCUGAUGCAGCGACGCCGCGUGAGUGAGGAAGUAUUUCGGUAUGUAAAGCUCUAUCAGCAGGGAAGAAAAUUACGGUACCUGACUAAGAAGCCCCGGCUAACUACGUGCCAGCAGCCGCGGUAAUACGUAGGGGGCAAGCGUUAUCCGGAUUUACUGGGGGUAAAGGGAGCGUAGACGGAAUUGCAAGUCUGAUGUGAAAAUCCGAGGCGCAACCCCGGAACUGCAUUGGAAACUGUAUUUCUAGAGUGUCGGAGAGGCAAGUGGAAUUCCUGGUGUAGCGGUGAAAUGCGUAGAUAUCAGGAGGAACACCAGUGGCGAAGGCGGCUUGCUGGACGAUGACUGACGUUGAGGCUCGAAAGUGUGGGUAUCAAACAG